Molecule: long non-coding RNA, 3149 nt
Organism: Camarhynchus parvulus
Lineage: Eukaryota; Metazoa; Chordata; Aves; Passeriformes; Thraupidae
Exons: 4
Source: RefSeq, a predicted model, not a curated record
GCCAUCUUAGGGAAUCCUUUCCCUUCCCUGCAGUCUCCAUUUUAUGUUCCUGACGCAGAAAAUGAAAAGGUCCUCCAUCCCCUUCCCGCAUCCCACACGAGGAGAUGCUCCUGGGCAAGAAAACACCACAAGCGCCUCUGUGCUUUCUGGAGACACUCAGCUCACUCCGAGCGACUUUUCCUUUAAAUACCCCGAGCUAAAGCUCCCUUUGUCUGUCAUCUUGCGCCUGCCUGGACUAAAAUAGUGCAAGAAGUCAAAUCUAAGUUGUCAGAACUAAAAAAGUCUCCUGCAGAAGAAUUGUCUGCUGAGAACUUGAAGAAAAGCUUGAACAGGACGAGGAGAUGGAUUUUGACUGUGCAGUGGAAUAUUCUGAACUUCAACACAGAUAAGAUAAGAGUGACAAAUCUGUGGGGGAAAAUUGACAAUAUCCUCUUGCUCUUAGGGAGCAAAACAUUUCAAAGAGGAUGUGAGCUAUGACAAAAGGAGGCCAUUUCCCCUUGUCCACCCUUCCCAUAGGAGGUGCAAAUGUCACCCCAGCACUGAGUAGAUUAGGCUGGGCUCAUCUUUGAGUGUCCUUGAGCUUCUCUGGGCAGCUGUGCCAGGGCCUCACUGCCCUCCCAGGGAAGAAUUUCUCCCCAGUAUCCCCUUCCAGCUGCCCUGCCAUGCCCAGGACAUCCUUAACUGGAGCAGAUUUCUCAGAGCCCCACUGCUCAGCUCUGCCAUGCUCCUCACUCCCCUUUAACAAGGAUUUAACCCCUUUUGUGUGGGUUUCCCCCUCCCACCCAUCACAGCAGCUGUUCCUCCUGUCCUGCAGGAGCUGCCACGGACAGGCAGGAAAUUCAAUCUGCCAAGCUGGGGAGGGGGGAGGCAGAGGAGAAGCAGCAGGGAGCAGCUGCUGGACAUGGGUGGGAUGCAGCUGUGUGUUUGGGGCAGCAGGAGCUCUGGGCUGGAUGCAAAGAGGGUCCAGGUGAAAAGAGGGAUGCUCUGGAGCUGGAUCCCCAAGGAUGGAGACUCGGGGCAGCACAAGGGGCAUUUCAGUGAGAGGAGAAGCCUUGAAAGCAGCAAGUUCAGGUUUGCCUGCAGAGCUCCACCUUCAUAUGAGGGACACCCCACAGCAGCCCCAUGGCUGUGCAAAGCCUGCUGAGCUCCAGAGAACCUUCUCCAUGCCCACAUUGUUUCUGCUCUUGGCCUGAGAUUUGGAUCAUUUGUCCUUGGUCCCCAGCUAGAGAAGGAAUUGCUUUGUCUCCCUGCUCUGUGCAGAGAGCUCACCAUCCCCUAAUGUGAAGCCCAGACCCACACACUAAAGCAGCAAAGAACCUGAAAAAUAUAAAAGCUAAACCUGAGGCAUCACCUGUGCUGUGGCCCCCAGGGCUGGAUGCUCCAGGUGGGUUCCAGGAAGAACCCACAAAAUGGGCUCUUUUGGCCCUACAAAAUGCAGCAAUUUGCACCCCAGCCCAAAGACUGUGCAUCCCUGCAGUGCUGCACUCCAUCUCCUCCUGCAUUUCCUGGGAAGCUCAGUGGGUGUCAGCCCCAGAACUCUUUUCCCUCUUCCCAAGCUGUGAUGCUGUGCCAGAAUCCUCCAUUGCAACCACACACAUUUCACAUUUAUUUCAAAUGUGGUUGAAAAGGGAGGAGGGGACAGGCCAUAAAUAUUCUUUCCCAGGGCUGUUGCCUGAGCCUGGGAAUACCCAAAGGAGUGGGGUAGCCCCUGUGGGGUUGGCUCUGUGGGACAGACCUGGGCAGCCCCAGGUGGCUCUUUCAUCACCCCAAAUGUGUCUGUACCCCUGGCUGAGAAAAUGCCCCCACAGCAGGCAAAGUGUUGGGGAGCAGAGAGGACCUGGCCUCGCUCCUGGCACUGCCCAUAUUUUCACAUUUCCACUUUCCUCCCUGGCUCAGUGCAUGCUCAGGGACAUGGGUGUAGAACAAACCCUGUCAUUUUGUGAUGAAGCAGCCAUUUCCUUCACAUUUUUCCUACAUUACCCACGAAAUUUGGAUGUUACUGAGUGUAAUUUUGGAAGCCUCCUGAGCCUGCAGCCACUCCAGGCACAGACCUGCAACAGUGACCCCUCUCAGCAGUUGUGGCUGCUCUGAAUUCAACCUUCUGCUUGGCCCUGGAGGUUAAUGUGGCUCUGCAUGUCCCCUGCUGUCCCCACGGCGUGGGCCUGCUCCCUGCUACCAGAUGCAUUCUUUGCUUCCAACAUAUGGCCUCAAUUACUGUCCUUUCCCUGGAUUUCCUGCCUGAAACUCAUCCCCUCCUCCUGGCAGCCUGAACUGCCUCCUCUCUCCUGCAGUGAGAUGCCUUGCAAGCUCUCACAUUCCUCCCUGCCUCCCUGCUGCUGCUCUGCUGCCUCUGACCAGGGGGUGCUGAUGCAGAGCAGGCACAGAGGAGGCUCAGACCCCCCAGGUGCUGUCACUGAGCCCAGGAGCCCCAAGGCCUGGCUGGUCACAGCCAAACUGCCCAGCCCAGUGUCCAGCAGGGCUUUGUCCAGAGCCCCCUCCUCCCUCAGCACCCAUCCCACACCCCCUGCAGUUUUCAGGGUUUUUUUUUUGUUUGAUUUGCAAGGCUCAGGCUUCUUUUUAUUUCCAUCCCUCCUGAAGCUGGGGGCUUUCCCAGCCUCUGCCCUUUGAAAGGAGCAUCAAACCACUCUGGGUUUCCCCUGGGCACUGCUUGGCCUCGUUCCUGGGCACUUACCCCUGCAGAAAAGCCAUGUGCCCGUGGCUUCUGCCUCUCAAAGCUUUGGAGGAGGGGAGAGGGCUCUGUCAGUGGCUCUUUGUGGGAAAUGGAUUUGUGAAAAACCCUCGAAACUUGGCAGAAGGCUCACACAGUAUGUAUCUGUAUGCAAACCUUGAGAUAAGAAAUGCUGACUUCGAAAUGCCAUGGAAUAGGACAGACAUGGUUUGAGAGAGAAAUGGAACUAGAAAUAAAUUUCAAAGGAUGGCCUUGUAAAAAAGACUAGAUACUUUGGAGAAAUAGAACUGUGAAAGAUAUUGUAGUGGGACCCAUGAGGAGGAAUUUUAGAUUAUUGGCUUUAAGGCAUCUACAGCAUGGUGUGACAAAAGCUGAUAGGCCAAGAAAUGCUUAUACUGUAUUGUAAAUAAGAAAUAAUUGGCUUCUGAUUGUGAUGGCGUGAAUUACAACAUCUGUAUUG